Molecule: non-coding RNA, 74 nt
Filed under: Sorangium cellulosum So ce56
Lineage: Bacteria; Pseudomonadati; Myxococcota; Polyangiales; Polyangiaceae
Source: RNAcentral
AAGAUCCGGAUGCGGGAAUUCCGCACGUCCGGAUCUGUGGGGGGCGGGGGGUAGUCGACCCCGGCCUACCCGAC